UAAUGAAUAAUAGAUUUGAAAUAUUUAUUAUAUAGAUUUAAAGAAAUAAUCAUAGAAUACAUAAGUUAUUAAUAGUUAUUAGGUUACUAAUAAAUAAAUAAAGAUUUAUUUUAAUACCUAAGGGAAACCUUUAUAUAUAUUUAAAAAUAUAUAUAAUAAAUAUACUAAGUGAACUGAAACAUCUAAGUAACUUAAGGAUAAGAAAUCAACCGAGAUAUUAUGAGUAUUGGUGAGAGAAAAUAAUAUAGUUAAUAAAUGGUAAGUAUUAUGUAAUAUAAUUAUGUAAGAAUAUAGGACAAACUAGUUCUAAAACUAAAUACUAUUAAUAAACAAAAUAAGUACCGAAAGGGAAAGUAUGUAAAUGGUUAUUUUAUAAGUAAUCAUAGAUAUAAAAUUUAUAUUAAUGAUGUACCUUUUGUAUAAUGGGUCAGCAAGUAAUUAAUAUUAGCAAAAUAACAAAUUAAAAAUAAAUUGAUAAUAAGUUAAUAUUAAUUGACCCGAAAGCAAAUGAUCUUACUAUGACCAGACGGUUAAACGGUCGAACAGGUUGAUGUUGCAAUAUCAUCUGAUGAGUUGUGGUAAGUAGUGAAAGACAAAUCUGAUUUGCAGAUAGCUGGUUUUCUACGAAAUAUAUGUUAGUAUAGCUUUUAUAAGAAUAAUUAUUAUAAUAUACCCCCCUUUUUAAAUUAUCGUAUGGUAAUAAGAGGCCCCACCCUUUAAGGGGUGGGGCCCCCGGAAGGAGGGAAUUAUAUAUUAUAAAGAACGGUACAGCAACAAAUAUAUUUAGGGGAACUAUUGUAGUUUUAUCAAAAAUAUUUGAUCUCGAAAUGUUUAAUUAAUCUCCGAAACCAUAAUAUGUAUCACAUAUUAUGGAUAAUAAAUUUGGAGAGGAUUAUAAAAAGUCAGAUUAUGUGCGAUAAGGUAAAUAAUCUAAAGGGAAACAGCCCAGAUUAAUAUAUAAGGUUCCUAAUUAUAAAUAAUAAGUGAAAUAAAUAUUAAAAUAUUAUAAUACAAUCAGUUAAUGGAUUUGACAAUAACCAUAUUUUUAAUGAACAUGUAACAAUGCACUGAUCCAUUUUAUAGUAUACCUCCUAUGGGCCCCCCUUCGGGGGGGGCCUCUUAUCAUCUUUUAUGAUGAUGAGGGAUAAUAUACUAAAUAAUAUUAUAAAUUACUCAUAUUGAGUAUUAAUAAACAAUAUACGGAUCUUAAUUUAUUUUAAGAAUUAUUUAACCGAAUAUUUAAAUAUUAUUAUUAAAUAUAAUAAUAAUAAUAUGGUAGUAGAACAUUUAAUGAAAAGAUAUAUUAAUUUUUAAUUAAUAUAUAAUAAAUAAAAUAAUUAUUUAUAUUUGUAAUUAAAUAGAGAAUGCUGACAUGAGUAACGAAAAAAAGGUUAAACCUUUUCACCUAAAACAUAAGGUUUUACUAUAAAAGUACGGCCCUUAAUUAAAUUAUAUAAAUAUAAUCUAAGAUAGGAUAAUUCUAAAUUAAAUAAAAUAUCUUUUAUUUAUUUAUUUAUUUAAUAAAAAUUAUAAAAGAUCAAGAAAUAUGUUUAAUUUAUACCGUAAUGUAUACCGACUCAGGUAUGUUAGUAGAGAAUAUUAAGGUGAAUUAGAUAAUUAAAGGGAAGGAACUCGGCAAAAAUAGCUCUAACGUUAGUCAAUAAAGAGAUUUAAAAACAAGGUUGUACAACUGUUUAAUAAAAACACCGCACUUUGCAUAAACGAUAAGUUAACGUAUAAGGUGUGAACUCUGCUCCAUGCUUAAUAUAUAAAUAAUAUUAUUUAAUGAUAAUAUUAUUAAAUUUAAGUAAAUAGCAGCCUUAUUAUGAGGGUUCUAAGGUAGCGAAAUUCAUUGUCCAAUAAUUAUGGUCCUGCAUGAAUGACGUAAUGAUACAACAACUGUCUCCCCUUUAAGCUAAGUGAAAUUAAAUUCGCAGUGAAGAUGCUGUGUACCUAUAGUGUGACGGAAAGACCCUAUGCAGCUUUACUGUAAUUAGAUAGAUCGAAUUAUUGUAUAUUAUAUUCAGAAUAUUAAGUAAUUGAUUAAAUUUAAAUGAGAUACUUAUUAUAAUAAUAUAAUAAUUCUAAUCUUAUAUAAUAUAUUUAAUAGAUAUGAUUCUUAAAUAAAUAUAUAAUAUAUGCCUCUUUCUUACCUAAUAUUCUAAUAAUUGAUGGAUGGAAAGUAGAUAAAUUAUAUAAUAAUAAGAGACAAUCUCUAAUUGGUAGUUUUGAUGGGGCGUCAUUUUCAGCAAAAAUAUCUGAAUAAGUCUAUAUAUGUAUUAUAGUAUUAUUAAUUAAUAUUAAAGAUUCCCGCCCCCAUUAUCCCAUAAAGGAUAAUGGGCAGGGGUCGUUGUAAGAAGUAUAUAUUAUAUAUAUUAAUUAUAAAUAGAAAUAUAUUAAAUUUUUAAUUAAUAUAUUUUAGUAAUAGAUAAAAUAAUGUAUAGUAAAAUUGUCUAGAAAACAAUAAUAAUAAUAUAUUUAUAUAUAUAUUAUAUAAUAAAAUGUAUUAAAUUAAUAUAAUGGUUUAACUAUGCAACAAUUAUAACACAAACAAGUGAAAUAAGUACGUAAGUAUGGCAUAAUGAACAAAUAACACUGAUUGUAAUGGUUAUUGAUAACGAAUAAAAGUUACGCUAGGGAUAAAAUUACCUAUUGUCCCAUUAUAUUGUAAAAUAUAAUUAUUCAAUUAAUUAAUUGAAGUAAAUUGGGUGAAUUGCUUAGAUCUCCUUAUAUUGUAUAAGGACAAUAAGCAGCGAAGCUUAUAACAACUUUUAUAUAUAUAUAAUAUAUGGUUAUAAGAACGUUCAACGACUAGAUGAUGAGUAAAGUUAACAAUAAUUCAUCCACGAGUGCCCAAUAUCAAAUAAAUACCCCCCUCCCCCCCAAGUCCAUUUAAUGAUGCUCCUGCAUCAUGGACCGGGGGGGGGUAUGUAUAAAUAUCGUAAAAAAGAUAUAAAAGCAUUUUUAAUUUAUUUGAUAAUGAUAUAGUCUAAACAAUUUGGUAACAAAUUGAUAAAUAAAUAUGUAAUAAUAUUUAUAUAAUAAUAAUAAAUUGAACAGGGUAAUAUAGCGAAAGAGUAGAUAUUGUAAGCUAUGUUUGCCACCUCGAUGUCGACUCUACCUAUCCUCUUGGUUGUAAAUGCUAAGAAGGGUUUGACUGUUCGUCAAUUAAAAGGUAACGUGAGUUGGGUUAAAUACGAUGUAAAUCAGUAUGGUUCCUAUCUACUAUAGGUAAUAUUAUCAACUUAAGUCUUAUUCUUAGUACGCAAGGAUCAGAAUGAAUUAAUCCAUGGUGUAUCUAUUGAUUAUUUUAUAAUGUAUAUAUAUUAUUUAUAUAUAUUAUCUAUAUUAAUUUAUAUUUUAAAUAUUAGUUAUCCUUCUUAAAGAAUGGAUAACUGAGUAGUUCCAUAAAUUUCAUUCGUGAUAAUAAAUGGAAUAUUAAAUAGUCAUAGUAGAGAAGCUAAAUUAAUAAAUAAUAAGUAUUGAAAGCAUAUAAAAUACGAAGUUGUCUUAAGAUGAGAUAAUAAUCUGAUUAUUUUAUACUA
This 3545-nucleotide ribosomal RNA is filed under the name Torulaspora globosa. RNAcentral describes it as "large subunit ribosomal RNA". It matches the Rfam family "Bacterial large subunit ribosomal RNA". Lineage: Eukaryota; Fungi; Ascomycota; Saccharomycetes; Saccharomycetales; Saccharomycetaceae. The record is from RNAcentral.